Molecule: ribosomal RNA, 526 nt
Filed under: uncultured bacterium
Lineage: Bacteria
Description: bacterial SSU rRNA
Rfam family: Bacterial small subunit ribosomal RNA
Source: RNAcentral
CGAGACGGAGAGGCAUCUCUACCGUCUGGAAAGUUUUUCGGUCUGGGAUGGACUCGCGGCCUAUCAGCUUGUUGGUGAGGUAAUGGCUCACCAAGGCGACGACGGGUAGCCGGCCUGAGAGGGCGACCGGCCACACUGGGACUGAGACACGGCCCAGACUCCUACGGGAGGCAGCAGUGGGGAAUAUUGCACAAUGGGCGAAAGCCUGAUGCAGCGACGCCGCGUGAGGGAUGACGGCCUUCGGGUUGUAAACCUCUUUCAGCAGGGAAGAAGCGAAAGUGACGGUACCUGCAGAAGAAGCACCGGCUAACUACGUGCCAGCAGCCGCGGUAAUACGUAGGGUGCGAGCGUUGUCCGGAAUUAUUGGGCGUAAAGAGCUUGUAGGCGGUUUGUCGCGUCUGCAGUGAAAAUCCGGGGCUCAACCCCGGACUUGCUGUGGGUACGGGCAGACUAGAGUGUGGUAGGGGAGACCGGAAUUCCUGGUGUAGCGGUGGAAUGCGCAGAUAUCAGGAGGAACACCGAUGGC